This 489-nucleotide ribosomal RNA is filed under the name uncultured bacterium. RNAcentral describes it as "partial 16S ribosomal RNA". It matches the Rfam family "Bacterial small subunit ribosomal RNA", at positions 30 to 507 of the family's 1533-position model. The record is from RNAcentral.
AUUGAACGCUGGCGGCAGGCCUAACACAUGCAAGUCGAACGGUAACAGGAACAGCUUGCUGUUUCGCUGACGAGUGGCGGACGGGUGAGUAAUGUCUGGGAAACUGCCUGAUGGAGGGGGAUAACUACUGGAAACGGUAGCUAAUACCGCAUAACGUCGCAAGACCAAAGAGGGGGACCUUCGGGCCUCUUGCCAUCGGAUGUGCCCAGAUGGGAUUAGCUAGUAGGUGGGGUAACGGCUCACCUAGGCGACGAUCCCUAGCUGGUCUGAGAGGAUGACCAGCCACACUGGAACUGAGACACGGUCCAGACUCCUACGGGAGGCAGCAGUGGGGAAUAUUGCACAAUGGGCGCAAGCCUGAUGCAGCCAUGCCGCGUGUAUGAAGAAGGCCUUCGGGUUGUAAAGUACUUUCAGCGGGGAGGAAGGGAGUAAAGUUAAUACCUUUGCUCAUUGACGUUACCCGCAGAAGAAGCACCGGCUAACUCCGUG